Neofelis nebulosa (Clouded leopard) is the source of this 3142-nucleotide long non-coding RNA. RefSeq lists it as uncharacterized. The record is from RefSeq and is a predicted model, not a curated record. The transcript has 4 exons. Lineage: Eukaryota; Metazoa; Chordata; Mammalia; Carnivora; Felidae.
ACGGCCGGGCGCGCCCGGGCCACCUGGCCGGGCCACCUGCGUCACCGUCCCCACCUGGCCGGCCGGCGCUCACGUGACCCCGCGGCCGGGCCGCAGGUGUCCGCCCCCGGACCGCCCACCCCGCCCGCUGCGGCCCGGCCGGCGUCGCCCGCGGGCUUGGGGCGUGCGUGGCCGGGCAGUGACCCUGAGCGGGCUCCCGCCUUCCUUCCCGGCCUGGCUAGCCUGCCUCCUCCUCCAGGAAGCCCUCCUGGGAGCCGACCGGCGCAGAGAGGAACCUGAUCUUCUCAAGGCAGGAAAGGCGCCACCUUCUGGAUUCUUUCAAAAGUGCGGCCGGAGGGCGGCCCAGCACCGCACAAAACACUCUUCGCCCUUGUUGAUGUGAGACUUUGGGGUCCGGGAGCCCAUGGUCGAGAAGGAAUACUUGAGAGGUGCCUGGCUGGCCCAGCGGGGAGAGCGUGUGACCCUGGGGUGCUGGUGUCCCAGAAAGAGAAGGCUCGUGGAGGACAGCCGCGGCGCCCUUGGAAGCCCCUGGCGCAAGGGGCGUGUUCGUUAUGGCAGCACGUCCUGGUGAGCCCUGACCGUGCCACCUCCCUUCUUCCUGAUGUCACAGCCCUUCAUCUGGGGCCAGCCCAGGGUUCAUCUGUAGCAAGACGCCUUCUCCUUCCUGCUUUCCUUCUCCUUUCGCUUGGAGGGCAGCAAGGAGCCGCUCAGGUGGGAGCAACGGGCCGAAAUGAUCAGAUCUGAUGGAAAGACCCCUCAGGCAGCAGAGGAGAGGGCAGGGAGGACGCUGAAGCAGACACCCUGAGCCCCAACCCAGACCAGGGAAGCUGAUGUCUUGCCUCUGGAAUGCUUUCAGGGCGGGGAGCUCACCCCCUCCCAAUACAGAUCGUUGCAUUGUCUGCCUUCAUCACAUUUUUUAGACGUUCCUGGCGUGACGUGGUAUCCAGAUUUUUCAUCAUCCUGGCGUAUUCCCCCAAGACACUUCAAAAUGUGCCAGAAUCCUUCUCAAAAUGUGGUCUUCGGAACAGAACCCGGUACCACGCCAGUAUAAGAAAACGGGGAAAGACUCACCUCCUCUCUUCUGGAUAUGAUACCUCUGUUAAUACAGCCUCUUCCUGCUGCAGCCCUUACAUGUAUCCAUCCCACAGCACAGAGCCCGAGGCCCUACAUGCAGCAGGGGCUCAGCCAGUGCCUGGUGACUCACUGAUGUGAUCUGAGGUCCCAGGACUCAGCCCCAGAGAUGGCGAGUGCCAGUCUCCUUCUGACCUGUCUCCAGGUUCCCUUUUCCGGAAAGGCCCAUUGCUAAAUUUCCAUUUGAACGCACUGGGACGUGCAUUUGGGUGAAUUUUCAGACCACCUUGGUGCCUGUGCUGACCCCAGGCCUUGGUGCGGUGGGCAAGGUGCAGGGGCGUGUCAGCCCGCAGGGCACAGUCUAGCCCGGGGGGCAUAGGCCCGCCCUCCCCUGGCAGCUCCCUCUCCAGGGCUGGGUGAGGGGGUGCCACAGCCUCACAGGGCCGACUUGGCCUUUUCUUGGGUGUCGUGCUUUGAAGGGUCCCGCCCAGCACACCUGUGGCCGGCCCGAUGCUUGCCCGGCGUCGGGGCUCCCAUCCCCUGCCACGGGGUGUAGGUGCCACCUGGGGGACCCAGGUUGCCCACGGGAAGGUGCCCAAUGGGGCCGUCAGUGCUAUCGGUGUGUGUUUUGGGUAGGGGGUGCCGAUGGCUGACCCCUGUGGGUGGACAGCUUCUGGGCAGCACCCUGGGAAAGGUGGGGCGCUGCUGCCCUCCAGAGGCCAUCUUGGGUACUGCACCCACAGGCCCAGCCUGUAGGAAGGGGAGCUGGUGGGCCUUGGGCCUUGGGGGGAGGGAGGGGGGAGACGAGGGCCCGCGGGUGCCUGACCCCCACUCAGUGCUUUCCUAUAAGACGCAUCUUCAGAACUCUGCUUGGUCAUUGCAGGGUUAAUCCCCACCCCAGCCCUUCCUGCCCAGUACCUACUUGGCCCCACCAGCACCCCGAAUCUGGCUCUGUCCCCAAACUGGGGGGCUCUGGGGGACAUCUCCUUGUCUCCAGCUGGCUCAGUGUGUGGUUGGGGCCAGGUGACCCGGAGCGAGUGGCUUGCCUUCCCCAGGCCCCUGCUGUCUCAGUCGCAAGCUGGGGGUUAGUGAUGAUCGUCUAAGUAGUGUAGACCUUGUUCUCAGGUGGGGCCUGGAAGGGAGCGGCUCCGGGGUCAUAAGUGGGGGGAGAAGGACCCCAGGGCUGCCCGCAGGGGUGAGUCUUUGCAACUCUCUGCGCCCUGUGGCUGAGACCACGAGUGCCGGGGGCCAGGGGACACAGUGGUCGGGGACACAGUGGCCCUCCUUCCCCGCUUCGGGCCUCCGGGCUGGCCCCGCCCCUGGCUGACAGAUGAAGGCUGCUUAUCUCAUGAAACCCCACGAGGCCCUCUGCAGGGCCCCCCAACGUCAAAAAUAAGGACCCCAGUGUUUGCUCCCCGAAGCUCAGGGCCUUUGCACAUGCCAUGGUUUCUGCCUGGGAUCCUCUUCCUCGGCAGUCUUCACGGAGCCGUCCCCCGAUCGUGCACACCUUUGCCUCAAGCACACCUUCUCAACCAGGCCUUUGCUCACCACCCCACAGAGGAAGGAAGGCGCUCCUCACCAAACUCAUUACUCCCGGUUCCUUGAGAUGUAAGUAAGACAACGUCAGAGUAGAACAGGCCGGGCCCUAAAUCCAGUGCUCAGUGUCCUCAUACAAAGGGGGACAUUUAGACACAGAAUAGAGAAGGCCAAGGGACGACAGAGGCAAGGGCUGGAGUGACGUGGUCACAGGCCGAGGGACACGAGGAUGGCUGGCAGCACCAGAGGCUGGAAGAGACGAGAAGGACCCUGCCCUGGAGCCCCCGGAGGGCAGGCGUUCAGACCUCCAGCCUCCAGACGUGACAGGACCCGCUUCUAUGGCUUAGAGCAGCCCAGGGAGCAGAUUCAGGCAGCUGUCUCCCUGUCUCCUCUGCCCUCCGGUGAGUCCUCUGCUUUGCUCAUCUGUUUCCCGGUGUCCCUCUGGGCCUUGGACGCCCGCUUGUGGGGGUGGGAGCGGGCUGAUCUGCAGAAUGGUGGCCGGUCGGCCCGGGUUUCACGGGCCUUCGUGUGGCGG